AACGCCGCGUGAGUGAUGAAGGUUUUCGGAUCGUAAAGCUCUGUUGUUAGGGAAGAACAAGUGCCGUUCAAAUAGGGCGGCACCUUGACGGUACCUAACCAGAAAGCCACGGCUAACUACGUGCCAGCAGCCGCGGUAAUACGUAGGUGGCAAGCGUUGUCCGGAAUUAUUGGGCGUAAAGGGCUCGCAGGCGGUUUCUUAAGUCUGAUGUGAAAGCCCCCGGCUCAACCGGGGAGGGUCAUUGGAAACUGGGGAACUUGAGUGCAGAAGAGGAGAGUGGAAUUCCACGUGUAGCGGUGAAAUGCGUAGAGAUGUGGAGGAACACCAGUGGCGAAGGCGACUCUCUGGUCUGUAACUGACGCUGAGGAGCGAAAGCGUGGGGAGCGAACAGGAUUAGAUACCCUGGUAGUCCACGCCGUAAACGAUGAGUGCUAAGUGUUAGGGGGUUUCCGCCCCUUAGUGCUGCAGCUAACGCAUUAAGCACUCCGCCUGGGGAGUACGGUCGCAAGACUGAAACUCAAAGGAAAUUGACGG
This 534-nucleotide ribosomal RNA is filed under the name uncultured Bacillus sp. Its description in RNAcentral is "bacterial SSU rRNA". It matches the Rfam family "Bacterial small subunit ribosomal RNA", at positions 393 to 916 of the family's 1533-position model. Lineage: Bacteria; Bacillati; Bacillota; Bacilli; Caryophanales; Bacillaceae. The record is from RNAcentral.